CCCCGCCUCCGGCCGCCAUCUCAAGUGUGGCUGUAGAGGCACCGAGCUAGCAAGAAUCCCGGGAAAGUGGAAGUUGACAGUGAGAGGGAACAAAGGCUCAAGAAGGAAUUCAGAGAGAGUAUGAGAUAGCCAGAGAGCCCAAAGUAGCUAGAAAGUGGCAGCCACACUAAUCAUGGCGACCAAAAGACGACCCAAUGGAUGGGGCGGAGCCACUCCUGGCGGCUGGGGCACGUUGCCUUCUCCGUCCUCUCAGUUAUUGGUUUGUUUGAGAAGGGAUCGGAAAGGCAAUGUGUGGGUGUGGACAUCAGUCAAAGUUAGUCCCGCCUCCGGACUCUUCGCGCGCUUCCUGGCGCCGGGGCCGCAGGAAGAUCGCCAGUACCUUGGUCGAUUUGCCCUUUUCCUGGAGUGAUGUCACGGCGUAACCGACACACCCUCGAGACGUGCAAACGGCUCGGGAGGGUGUGGAGAAGCUGGAGGGCGCAGCUGGGUGUGGUAGCCUUGGGGUGCGGACAACAGCCCGCGAAGAAAGGCCUUGAGCAGUGGGAAGGAAUGGAACUGGAAGCUUGCCCCUUGACGACACCUUUUUCAAGGCGGAAGUGCUCUCUGCAGCGUCUAUCGCCGCCCUCUUUGUCACUUUAUUGGGCAGGGAGGGAGUUCUUGUCCAGUCUCAGCUUUGAGUCCAGAGCUCAAAGAAGCACCUGUCUUUUCGAGGCGGGGCUCGAAAAGUUGGGCCUUUUCUCCUGCCGCGGCUUGGGCCAUUAAACAAGUGAGAUUCGGUCCCUGUGGUUUGGCAUCGUUGCAAGGGCCUCGGCUUUUGUGUGACCUCCCCUAACUUGAGUUUUCUCAGGUUGACCACUUGGGUCCAUUGGGGAAAUAAAUGAGGUGAAAAUUGAGCGCGCUUGGUAAAAUGGAAGAAAGAGUAUCGGCAUGAAUUGGGCCAGGUGCGAAACUGUUCCCUCUUGAACAUAUUUCAGGCCAGUAGUAGUCAUUGAGAGAAGGAGGCCUUCGCCGAGACCUGCCAGGCCCGGAAGCCCUGUACUGAGCUCAGCCAUAGAAGGGCCGAUGAGCACAAAACAAAAGUUCUCAACUAGGAGCCGCAGGAGUGGAACUGUUAGGUUUCCACCUGGUUGGUGGAAUUGGAGAACGUUUCUCAUGGGAAAGGUGGCAUUCGUACCAGGCCCUGCAAAGGGAGAAGAGGGAUGAGGAUCAAAUAUAUCAGAUAGGAGCUAAAGCUGAUGGUAAAGAUUAAAGAUCUCGAGAUGUUCCUAGUUCCUCUCCUUCAAACAGAGAAUUGGAGAUUUUGGCGUGUAAUGUCUCGUAGCAGCAUCUUCUAGGGCCUCUUU
This is a long non-coding RNA of Mustela erminea (ermine), 1343 nucleotides long. RefSeq lists it as uncharacterized. Lineage: Eukaryota; Metazoa; Chordata; Mammalia; Carnivora; Mustelidae. The transcript has 3 exons. The record is from RefSeq and is a predicted model, not a curated record.